GCUCUGCUGGCGCAAUGGUAGCGCGCCAGACUUCUAUCUUUGAAAUCUGGAGGGUAAGAUAACUCUCCGUCCACGCGUACCAGACCAGAAGGCUAACGGUGAAAAAGUUGUGGGUUCGAGUCCCACGCAGAGUG
This is a transfer RNA of Exophiala spinifera, 134 nucleotides long. It matches the Rfam family "tRNA". From Rfam's summary of the family: Transfer RNA (tRNA) molecules are approximately 80 nucleotides in length. Lineage: Eukaryota; Fungi; Ascomycota; Eurotiomycetes; Chaetothyriales; Herpotrichiellaceae. The record is from Rfam.